CCCUUAGACGUUCUGGGCUGCACGCGUGCUACACUGAUAUUGCCAAUAUGUCAUUCUUAUCCGAAAUGGAUUGGGUAAUCAAGUAAUGAAAUUUCAUGCUUGGAAUCGGUAAUUGCAAUUUUAUCGUGAACGAGGAAUUCCUAGUAAGCACUAGUCAUCAGCUAAUGUUGAUUAUGUCCCUGCCCUUUGUACACACCGCCCGCCGCUACUACUGAUUGGGUGUUCAAGUGAGAUGCUUAGACCCUUGUUGCAUGGUUCAUUAUUGUGCUCCGAAAGGAAAAAGUUUCAAGCUUGAGUGUCUAGAGGAAGUAAAAGUCGUAACA
Molecule: ribosomal RNA, 323 nt
Filed under: uncultured eukaryote
Lineage: Eukaryota
Description: partial 18S ribosomal RNA
Rfam family: Eukaryotic small subunit ribosomal RNA
Source: RNAcentral